UGGGAAUAUUGGACAAUGGGGGCAACCCUGAUCCAGCCAUGCCGCGUGAGUGAUGAAGGCCUUAGGGUUGUAAAAGCUCUUUCACCCGGGACGAUAAUGACGGUACCGGGAGAAGAAGCCCCGGCAACUUCGUGCCAGCAGCCGCGGUAAUACGAAGGGGGCUAGCGUUGUUCGGAAUCACUGGGCGUAAAAGCGCACGUAGGCGGACCGUUAAGUCGGAGGUGAAAUCCUGGGGCUCAACCCCAAGAACUGCCUUCGAUACUGGCGGUCUCGAGUCCGGAAGAGGUGAGUGGAACUGCCAGUGCAGAGGUGAAAUUCGUAGAUAUUAGCAAGAACACCAGUGGCGAAGGCGGCUCACUGGUCCGGUACUGACGCUGAGGUGCGAAAGCGUGGGGAGCAAAACAGGAUUAGAUACCCUGGUAGUCCACGCCGUAAAACGAUGAAUGCCAGCCGUCGGGCAGCAUGCUGUUCGGUGGCGCAGCUAACGCUUUAAGCAUUCCGCCUGGGGAGUACGGUCGCAAGAUUAAAACUCAAAUGAAUUGACGGGGUCAUAGCUGUUU
This 560-nucleotide ribosomal RNA is filed under the name uncultured bacterium. RNAcentral's name for it is "partial 16S ribosomal RNA". It matches the Rfam family "Bacterial small subunit ribosomal RNA", at positions 356 to 935 of the family's 1533-position model. The record is from RNAcentral.